UCUAUACUCCCUCUGUCUGGAAAUACUUGUCAGUAAAAUAAAUGUAUCUAGAUGUAUCUUAGUUUUAGAUACAUCCAUUUUUAUCCAUUUUCACGAAAAGUAUUUUCAGACGGAGGGAAUAUAUG
This is a non-coding RNA of Triticum urartu, 125 nucleotides long. The record is from Rfam. Lineage: Eukaryota; Viridiplantae; Streptophyta; Magnoliopsida; Poales; Poaceae.